AUGAGCAUGUGCAUUGUCAGAAUUUUUGCAAAAACUGGAGAAAAAAAAGAAAAAGCUCUUAUAAAAGGCACUUCCCUCCCCCUGGGGAAAAUUCCUCCUUUUGUUUUUAUUAUUCACCACAUUUCCUUCUUUUAUUCCUCUUUCUCAUCUCGUUCUUUUGUUCCCUUUCCCUCCUCAGAUGAUUCUCCUCCUCGCAGCGGGAGGCUCCCAGCAGCUGGGGACGGAGAGCUGCGGCCCGCGGGAUGGCGAGGGGCUCGCCGGCAGGAAUCCUGGUAAAAUGCAGUGAAGGAUUUAAGGUCAUCAUCUGUCUCUCCCUAACUUCUGACAUCUCUUUAUAACAAGAAAGAGUCACAGCCAACUGUAACAGGAGGGCAACACAAUGAAUCCCGGUAAGACAGGGAAGGGGGGAGGUCUGCUGCCCCUCUGCCCCUAUUUCUUCCUUGCAGAACAGAAGUACCAUCUGUUCCUAGCCCUAACAUCCAUGCAUUUGAUUUCCAUUCCAUAAUAACUAGCACAGGAAAAAGAUUAUCAAGUGGUCUAAAGCACUAUCAGCAUUAGCGAGUCUUCCCCAUCCAGCAUGUUUUGUUUUCACCUCCAAAGAUCUGUAGAUAAAAUGGAUACAGACAAAUGCCUUAAUUGCCUGGAAUUAUUCGUUUCUCUGGUAGAGGGCCAUAUGGUCAAGGUGUGGAACAUGACCAGACUAAGGAUAUUUAGGUACUGGGGUUAGAAAGAUUUAGGAAGACCAGACGAGAGGAAGGAUGUUUAGAUACUUCAAUCUGAAUUCAGUAAACCAGUCCCUAUUACUUGGUGCUGUGAUAUCUCAUCAGAAUAAUGCAAAAUUGACUUUCUGUUUGAUGUGUGAGGCUUGACAGUCAGUAUUAAAGUAUAAGCCUCUUUCAAAGGAAUCUGUAAAAAGUUUCUUAUGCUUCACAGUAAAACUUUCUGCAUUCUCAAAUUAAAAGCCCAACACCAGCAAAUCCCCCAAACACAAUCCAGCAAACUCAGCUUGAGAUCCAAAAAAACAAUGAGAACUUCUUGCCUUCCUAACUCAGUGCAGGUGCCAAAGAUGCUGUAGAUCCCCCACUUAUGCCCAGUUAUGCGUGGUGUAUUGUUGAUGAAAGUAAUGGGGUGGAGCAGUAGAUGUCAGUGAAGGAAAAGCAACUACAAUGUGAUGUUUGCAAAGCAAGGUAAUGAUUAACCAAUAGGUUCAGUGGGACUUCUCUGUCCUAGCUCCUCAGCCAUUUCAAUGCUAUUACCUCUUGAUCUCUAUACCAGAUCAUUUUAUGUCUCUCUUUUCAUCUUCUUAUCUUUUCCCCCUUUUCUGGUGCUGCCUAGCCCACCUUGUUACUUAAAGCACUUUGAUGACCAGAACUUUGAUGUCCAUGCUGUCAGAUCCCAGCUUUCUACUCAAGGACUGGGGAAGGAUCUCAGCCAUGGGAGAAGCAUGGACUGUAAAUAAACUCAGAAGAUGAUCUAAGAGGACA
This 1484-nucleotide long non-coding RNA is filed under the name Anser brachyrhynchus (Pink-footed goose). RNAcentral describes it as "lncRNA (ENSABRG00000023204.1)". Lineage: Eukaryota; Metazoa; Chordata; Aves; Anseriformes; Anatidae. The record is from RNAcentral.